CACGAAACCAGGCGAGCUACUGUAAGACUUAUAGUAGUAAAUAAUAUGUAGCAUAAUAAUAAUAGACCUUACAGUAGGAGUGAUAGGCUGACCAAGUCUGGUGAUAUCUUGUUAACCUUGAAAUAUAUGUAGUAUAUAGUCAGUUUAUUAGUGAUGAGGCUAAUAAAGACUAUGUAACUUGAUUUCCUUCUGUUUACAUAGUUUAACCACUAGCAUCUUUUAAACAUAAUAUGGCUGUCUUAUGUUAAUAGGUCAUAAAGGUUACUACACAAUUAUAGUGACUAUUUAUUUUGUGGGUAUAAGUAAUUGAGAUAUCGUUGAUGAACUCGGCAAUAUUUCUUUCACCUGUUUACCAAAAACAUCGCCACUAGGAACUAUUACUGGUUAAUUCUGCUCCAUGUGAUAUAAAUAGCCGCAGUACCUUGACUGUGCAAAGGUAGCAUAAUCAUUUGGCUUAUAAUUGAAGUCUUGUAUGAAUGAAUACAUGGGGGAUAGCUCUAUUUGCGGUAAAUCGUGAAUUUACUUAAUGGGUGCAAAUUCCCACAUAUAAAUAAUAGACGAGAAGACCCUAGAAAUUUUAAUAAUAUUAAUGAUGACGUUUUUGUUGGGGCAACAUAGUAGCAUUGAAUCUACAAUACAUACAUGGCAUAUUUUAGAAAGACUAAAUUACUCUAGGGAUAACAGCGUAAUUCUAUAAAAGUUUGCGACCUCGAUGUUGGACUAGGAAACAGAUACUAAAA
Molecule: ribosomal RNA, 740 nt
Filed under: Amplirhagada buffonensis
Lineage: Eukaryota; Metazoa; Mollusca; Gastropoda; Stylommatophora; Camaenidae
Description: partial 16S ribosomal RNA
Source: RNAcentral